Molecule: small nucleolar RNA, 218 nt
Filed under: Propithecus coquereli (Coquerel's sifaka)
Lineage: Eukaryota; Metazoa; Chordata; Mammalia; Primates; Indriidae
Description: Small nucleolar RNA U3 (ENSPCOG00000010343.1)
Rfam family: Small nucleolar RNA U3
About the family: Small nucleolar RNAs (snoRNAs) are involved in the processing and modification of rRNA in the nucleolus. There are two main classes of snoRNAs: the box C/D class, and the box H/ACA class.
Source: RNAcentral
GAAAUUAUGCUUGCAUUAGAAAAGAGGAAAGGUCUCAAAUCAGUAAUCUAAGUUGCUACAUCAAGAAAAUAGAAACCACGAGGAGGCGGCACAGCGUUCUCUCCAGAGCGUGGAGCCAGCUCUUGGUGUUGCUUCGCAGCAACUGCUGUUUGCCAUUAAUGAUCAUUCUUCUCUCUCUUUUUGGAGGAGUAAGAGAGAGAGGACACAGUCUGAGUGGG